Molecule: ribosomal RNA, 253 nt
Filed under: uncultured bacterium
Lineage: Bacteria
Description: partial 16S ribosomal RNA
Rfam family: Bacterial small subunit ribosomal RNA
Source: RNAcentral
UACGUAGGGACCAAGCGUUGUUCGGAUUUACUGGGCGUAAAGGGCGCGUAGGCGGUCUGACAGGUCACUUGUGAAAUCUCCGAGCUUAACUCGGAACGGCCAAGUGAAACCAACAGACUAGAGUGCAGAAGGGGCAAUCGGAAUUCUUGGUGUAGCGGUGAAAUGCGUAGAUAUCAAGAGGAACACCUGAGGUGAAGACGGGUUGCUGGGCUGACACUGACGCUGAGGCGCGAAAGCCAGGGGAGCAAACGGG